UAGGAGUAUCCACCGCAAGA
Molecule: unclassified non-coding RNA, 20 nt
Filed under: Hantaan virus 76-118
Lineage: Riboviria; Orthornavirae; Negarnaviricota; Bunyaviricetes; Elliovirales; Hantaviridae
Description: RNA (5'-R(P*AP*GP*GP*AP*GP*UP*AP*UP*CP*CP*AP*CP*CP*GP*CP*AP*AP*GP*A)-3') from Hantaan virus 76-118 (PDB 8C4V, chain H)
Source: RNAcentral